CGGGAUCUUGAGAGCGGCGUACGGGUGCGGAACACGUGUGCAACCUGCCUUUAUCAGAGGGAUAGCCUUUCGAAAGGAAGAUUAAUACCUCAUAAUAUAAUGAAUGGCAUCAUUUAUUAUUGAAAACUCCGGUGGAUAGAGAUGGGCACGCGCAAGAUUAGAUAGUUGGUGAGGUAACGGCUCACCAAGUCGAUGAUCUUUAGGGGGCCUGAGAGGGUGAUCCCCCACACUGGUACUGAGACACGGACCAGACUCCUACGGGAGGCAGCAGUGAGGAAUAUUGGACAAUGGGUUAGCGCCUGAUCCAGCCAUCCCGCGUGAAGGACGACGGCCCUAUGGGUUGUAAACUUCUUUUGUACAGGGAUAAACCUACCCUCGUGAGGGUAGCUGAAGGUACUGUACGAAUAAGCACCGGCUAACUCCGUGCCAGCAGCCGCGGUAAUACGGAGGGUGCAAGCGUUAUCCGGAUUUAUUGGGUUUAAAGGGUCCGUAGGCGGAUGUGUAAGUCAGUGGUGAAAUCUCACAGCUUAACUGUGAAACUGCCAUUGAUACUGCAUGUCUUGAGUAAGGUAGAAGUGGCUGGAAUAAGUAGUGUAGCGGUGAAAUGCAUAGAUAUUACUUAGAACACCAAUUGCGAAGGCAGGUCCCUAUGUCUUAACUGACGCUGAUGGACGAAAGCGUGGGGAGCGAACAGGAUUAGAUACCCUGGUAGUCCACGCCGUAAACGAUGCUAACUCGUUUUUGGGCUUUCGGGUUCAGAGACUAAGCGAAAGUGAUAAGUUAGCCACCUGGGGAGUACGUUCGCAAGAAUGAAACUCAAA
Molecule: ribosomal RNA, 821 nt
Filed under: Chryseobacterium endophyticum
Lineage: Bacteria; Pseudomonadati; Bacteroidota; Flavobacteriia; Flavobacteriales; Weeksellaceae
Description: bacterial SSU rRNA
Rfam family: Bacterial small subunit ribosomal RNA
Source: RNAcentral